Molecule: long non-coding RNA, 1246 nt
Filed under: Linum usitatissimum (flax)
Lineage: Eukaryota; Viridiplantae; Streptophyta; Magnoliopsida; Malpighiales; Linaceae
Description: long non-coding RNA (LUSI_LNC005127)
Source: RNAcentral
UAUGAGUGAAUUUUAGCGUUUUCGGAAAUUUCUCUGUCGGAGGAGUUCCCUCUGUGGUGCGCUUCUCUGGAGCUCUUUCGGUGGGUGUUCUUUGCCAGCAGAUCUCUGAGAUCCCCGUGUUUGCGUUUACGUUGCUUGUUUUUCUGAUUGAUUCUGACCUCUUUACAUUUUGAUGUCCGAUUUUCUUACUAUUGAUUCCGCUGGUCCUCCCCCGCCUCCUUCAUCCUCUUCACCUCCUUCAUCCUCUCCUCCAAAAACUUGGGCCUCCCUUGUUUCUUGAUCGGGUUUGAAGUUCAUUGACCUCACGGAUGAAAAUUUCAUUGACGGAGCAUUGAAAAUUCCGAAGAAAGCGCUGGAUCUUGGAUUGCAGCGGAUGAAGGCCGCUCUUGUGGCUCAAUUCCUGGGUGCAAUCCACCGAUGAGGGUUUUUUCAUCCAUGGCUAACCGAUUGUGGGGUUAUGAAGGUAAUUUCAGAUUUCAAAACUUUCAGAAGGUUUUUUCGUCAUAAAGUUUCCGUAUGUUAAUCUAUGCGAGUGGGUAAUUGCUCGCCCUAGGCACAUACAUCAUUCUACUCUCUUGUUGAGAAGGUGGGAAAAAGGUAUUCAACCAGUUGAUUUGUCUCCUCAGGAGAAACCACUUUGGAUUACACUCAAAUCUAUUCCUCUUCAGCUUCUCUAUAAUGAAGGUUUAGAAUGGAUGUUAGUAGGAUUGGUCAUAUAGUGGGUGGUUAUGUUCGUGAAGGACUGGAUGUUAAAGUUUGUGUGUUGCUUAGUGGUGAUUGUCCUGAAUUUGUAUAGGUCAUUUUGGAGGAUGAAGAAUAUGUUCAGAUUUCAAUUAUAAGCUCCAAAACUAGAGAGUAUGAGAAGCCUGCUCCCCAAUGGAGAAGGAAACCUGAGAAGUUGGUACAGGCUGUCUCUCCCUAGAAAGGAAAAAAGGUAGAUGGAAGCCAGCAUCAUACUGUCAAUGCCAAUAGUUCUAACACAGAUGAUUUGUCCAUUGAUUUACUGUCUCAUCCGAAUACUUUUGAUGUAUUGGAUGCUGUUAUUUAUAUUGCCACCGAUGAUUGAAAUGAAGUUAAGAUAAUAUAGGAGAUUUUUGAGAAUGAAGAGCAAUCUCAGACAAUUUUGCUUGAGGUUGCUGAUGCAAUACUAAGUCUACCUGAAGUUAAUGUUAAAGAAGCCGAUAAUAAUGUUAGUGCGAUUAUUCCACCGGGGCCUCUAAAUGCAGAGCAGAUAAGUAGUGACGGG